Molecule: ribosomal RNA, 159 nt
Filed under: Triticum aestivum (bread wheat)
Lineage: Eukaryota; Viridiplantae; Streptophyta; Magnoliopsida; Poales; Poaceae
Description: partial small subunit ribosomal RNA
Source: RNAcentral
AUGGAUGGAAUCAAAUACGCAGUAUUUACAGAAAAACUUCGUUUAUUGGGAAAGAAUCAAUAUACUUUUAAGGUCGAAUCGGGAUUCACUAAGACAGAAAUAAAGCAUUGGGUCGAACUCUUCUUUGGUGUUAAGGUGGUAGCUAUGAAUAGCCAUUGA